GCUCCCUUGGACAACUGGCGAAGUCGCUGGCCUUUCAAGCCGGAGGGACGGGAUCGAAACCCGUAGGGAGUACCA
RNAcentral lists this transfer RNA (75 nucleotides) under Anaerolineae bacterium. Its description in RNAcentral is "tRNA-Glu". It matches the Rfam family "tRNA". From Rfam's summary of the family: Transfer RNA (tRNA) molecules are approximately 80 nucleotides in length. Lineage: Bacteria; Bacillati; Chloroflexota; Anaerolineae. The record is from RNAcentral.